RNAcentral lists this ribosomal RNA (550 nucleotides) under uncultured bacterium. RNAcentral's name for it is "bacterial SSU rRNA". It matches the Rfam family "Bacterial small subunit ribosomal RNA", at positions 355 to 896 of the family's 1533-position model. The record is from RNAcentral.
UGGGGAAUAUUGGACAAUGGGGGGAACCCUGAUCCAGCCAUGCCGCGUGUGUGAAGAAGGCCUUAUGGUUGUAAAGCACUUUAAGCGAGGAGGAGGCUCUUCUAGUUAAUACCUAGGAUGAGUGGACGUUACUCGCAGAAUAAGCACCGGCUAACUCUGUGCCAGCAGCCGCGGUAAUACAGAGGGUGCGAGCGUUAAUCGGAUUUACUGGGCGUAAAGCGUGCGUAGGCGGCUUUUUAAGUCGGAUGUGAAAUCCCCGAGCUUAACUUGGGAAUUGCAUUCGAUACUGGGAAGCUAGAGUAUGGGAGAGGAUGGUAGAAUUCCAGGUGUAGCGGUGAAAUGCGUAGAGAUCUGGAGGAAUACCGAUGGCGAAGGCAGCCAUCUGGCCUAAUACUGACGCUGAGGUACGAAAGCAUGGGGAGCAAACAGGAUUAGAUACCCUGGUAGUCCAUGCCGUAAACGAUGUCUACUAGCCGUUGGGGCCUUUGAGGCUUUAGUGGCGCAGCUAACGCGAUAAGUAGACCGCCUGGGGAGUACGGUCGCAAGACUA